AUGGAGUCAAACACCCUCCUCCUAUGCAUGCUGCUGCUCAGUGUUCCAGGUUCCACUGGGGACAUUGUGCUGACCCAGUCUCCAGCUUCUUUGGCUGUGUCUCUGGGAGAAAAAGUUACCAUCUCUUGCAAGUCCAGUGAGAGUGUCGAAGAAUAUGGUGUAAAUAGUCUGCAGUGGUAUCAACAGAAACCAGGACAGCCCCCCAAACUUCUCAUCUAUGGAGCAUCCAAUACAGAAUCUGGGGUCCCUGCCAGAUUCAGUGGCAGUGGGUCUGGGACAGACUUCACCUUCACCAUCAAUCCUGUGGAGGCUGAUGAUGCUGCAAUCUAUCACUGUCAGCAGGGUAAAGAGCUUCCUCCCACAGUGCUCCAGGGCUAA
Molecule: non-coding RNA, 378 nt
Organism: Onychomys torridus (southern grasshopper mouse)
Lineage: Eukaryota; Metazoa; Chordata; Mammalia; Rodentia; Cricetidae
Source: the annotation of a RefSeq genome assembly